UCUCUCAAUUGUCUAAACGACUCUCGGCAACGGAUAUCUCGGCUCUCGCAUCGAUGAAGAACGUAGCGAAAUGCGAUACUUGGUGUGAAUUGCAGAAUCCCGUGAACCAUCGAGUCUUUGAACGCAAGUUGCGCCCGAAGCCUUCUGGCCGAGGGCACGCCUGCCUGGGCGUCA
RNAcentral lists this ribosomal RNA (174 nucleotides) under Veronica perfoliata. RNAcentral's name for it is "5.8S ribosomal RNA". The stretch from base 19 to 174 matches the Rfam family "5.8S ribosomal RNA". From Rfam's summary of the family: 5.8S ribosomal RNA (5.8S rRNA) is a component of the large subunit of the eukaryotic ribosome. It is transcribed by RNA polymerase I as part of the 45S precursor that also contains 18S and 28S rRNA. Lineage: Eukaryota; Viridiplantae; Streptophyta; Magnoliopsida; Lamiales; Plantaginaceae. The record is from RNAcentral.